ACACUGCUGACGAGUCCCAUACCAGGAUGAAACGGCCGUCCAGUGU
Molecule: non-coding RNA, 46 nt
Filed under: Schistosoma margrebowiei
Lineage: Eukaryota; Metazoa; Platyhelminthes; Trematoda; Strigeidida; Schistosomatidae
Source: RNAcentral